This 498-nucleotide ribosomal RNA is filed under the name uncultured fungus. Its description in RNAcentral is "eukaryotic LSU rRNA". The stretch from base 137 to 290 matches the Rfam family "5.8S ribosomal RNA". Lineage: Eukaryota; Fungi. The record is from RNAcentral.
AUCUCCCACCCUUUGUCUACCACACCUCUGUUGCUUUGGCGGGACGCCUAGCUACCGGCUUCGGCUGGUAAGUGCCCGCCAGAGGACCCAAAACCCUGAAUAUUAGUGUCGUCUGAGUAAAAAAGUUAAUAUUUAAAACUUUCAACAACGGAUCUCUUGGCUCUGGCAUCGAUGAAGAACGCAGCGAAAUGCGAUAAGUAAUGUGAAUUGCAGAAUUCAGUGAAUCAUCGAAUCUUUGAACGCACAUUGCGCCCCUUGGUAUUCCGAGGGGCAUGCCUAUUCGAGCGUCAUUAUCACCCCUCAAGCCUAGCUUGGUGUUGAGACCUGCCCCCCGGGGCAGUCUCUAAAAUCAGUGGCAGUGCUGUCAGGCUCUAAGCGUAGUAAAUUCCUCGCUAUAGGGUCCUGGUGGACACUCGCCAAAACCCCCCCAUUUUUUAAUGAUUGACCUCGGAUUAGGUAGGGAUACCCGCUGAACUUAAGCAUAUCAAUAAGCGGAGG